CAAACAUGAGACUUUAUUGAACGUUUGCCUGAAUCGGUUACAGAAAGAGUUUUAUUUUGUCUAAUCAGGGGAAACAUAGUUCUAUACAUAGGCAUGCCGUGUCACUGCACAGUCACAGCUGUGAAAACCAUUACCGCCUGCGUCGGAUGCCGCAAACUGAACACUCCAAAGGCAAGACAGUUUGGGAGUGCACAAAUCAAGGACAUGUCACACCCAGGAAGGAAGGGUGUAUUCACAUGGGGCUGCCCAGGGAGAAACAAACUUGACAGACAGUAGCAUGUGCAAAAUCUCAUCAUCAUUUGUAUACAGCAUUUUUAUGAAUACAGAGAUGAAGAAACUGAUCUUCAGUCAUCGAUUUUCUUCUAAAAUGGCAGAGGGUUUUGGGUGUUGGUCAUUUUUGGGCCCCAUAGCAAAUUUUGGAUCCAAUUCCCAGAAUUCCCCUUCCGUUCUCUAUCCUGCCUUUCUUUUAGAACCGACUUUACACGUCUUCCUCUUUCUGUUGUGUUCAAGAAAGCACAGUCAUUAAAUUGUCAUCUGAUAUUCACAGAAAAAUAGGACUUUGUCACAAGACUGGGACAUAAAUAGAAUUAGCAUUUAACAGUAUGUCUGAGGGAAAGGUCUUUACAUGUAUACAUGGUGUUGGCAUGCACAGAUAGGUAGUCAUCGACGAGUGCAAAAAUCUACUAAGUAACUUUUUUUUGUACUCCACAUUGAGUGAAAACAUCACAAGACUGAAGAAUUGAAACCCACCCGUCUUCGGUUCCAUGAAUCUUCACAGUUGUUCCUUGCUUGUCAACCAUUCAUAGGGCCUGUAUUCACAUAGCAUCUCAGAGCAGCAGUGCUGAUCUAGGACCAGGUCUCUCCUGUCUAAAUAAUCUUAUUCACUGUGAUCUAAAAGGCACAACUGAUCCUAUACCAGCACUAAAGCUUGGUACAGACAGGACCAAACAGGCUGCCUUGGCAUGCAGCCCAGUGGCUUAGGCAUAGACAUAGAAUAACCAAUCUUUUCAUUCUAUUUCUAUGGUUGGGGCCCACCUACUGACCCUCAGUGAAUGGUCCAUCAUCUGACCCUAUGACCCAGGAUUACAGCGAAAGACUAUUGGGGUUAUACCAUCUCUGGCCAUUGGCGGGGGUCAUGGGUCAUAGGUCAUUCUACCAUCCCCGCUCUGCUUUUUUGUCUUCCCCCUAUAAUAUCACAGACACAGUAGUCAUUACCUAUGAAGUGCAAAACAACAAUUAUUUUUGAUAAGCAUUAUGCAAUGAAUGUCAUAUCUCUGAAAAAUGUGUUUCCCCAUAUAAUAAAACUGUUACAGUAGACAGUGAAAACAUUUCUUGAUUGAAGAUACUGUUUAGAAGAGUUCAAAGGGAAAAAAACAACCAAUGUUAGCUAGAUAGAUUCCUCACAGACAGACCGGUGUAGGUUUUAAAUGUUAGAUAGAUAGACCUCUCACAGACAGACCGGUGUAGAACGUUAAUAAUCAAAUAAAAUGUAAUGGAAAACAUCUCUAGCAUCAUCAAAACAGUUUUAAAUAGAAGUUAAAAAUAAAAAAAGACACCAGCGAGAUCAUAAAAAAACACUAUUACAGUAGUAAGAUGUCCAGUGGUUUAUAUAAUAUAAUAUAUUAGGCUGGUGUCUAGAAAACCAAAUCUAGCGUAAAAAAAAACCAAACAAACAAAAUAAGUAAAUAUAACCAAAAACUAUCUAUUCAACACUACUAUGUACACGACACAGCGUCUCUGGUACAGAGAGACCUGGUUAGUAUGGAAGGGAGCAAAAGACGGACACAGACCUUGCUGUAACACAAGUCUUUCUUGGCACAGAAAACGCUAGUUACCAGCACCCAGACUGACGAGGAGGGAGAAAGGAC
Long non-coding RNA from Esox lucius (northern pike), 1868 nucleotides. Lineage: Eukaryota; Metazoa; Chordata; Actinopteri; Esociformes; Esocidae. The record is from Ensembl.